This 253-nucleotide ribosomal RNA is filed under the name uncultured bacterium. RNAcentral's name for it is "partial 16S ribosomal RNA". It matches the Rfam family "Bacterial small subunit ribosomal RNA", at positions 524 to 776 of the family's 1533-position model. The record is from RNAcentral.
GACGAAGGGGGCUAGCGUUGCUCGGAAUCACUGGGCGUAAAGCGCACGUAGGCGGCUUUCUAAGUCAGGGGUGAAAUCCUGGAGCUCAACUCCAGAACUGCCUUUGAUACUGGAGAGCUAGAGUCCGGAAGAGGUGAGUGGAACUGCGAGUGUAGAGGUGAAAUUCGUAGAUAUUCGAAAGAACACCAGUGGCGAAGGCGGCUCACUGGUCCGGUACUGACGCUGAGGUGCGAAAGCGUGGGGAGCAAACAGG